GACGAACGCUGGCGGCGCGCCUAACACAUGCAAGUCGAACGGAGCUUAGAGAGCUUGCUUUUUAAGCUUAGUGGCGAACGGGUGAGUAACGCGUGAGUAACCUGCCCUAGAGUGGGGGACAACAGUUGGAAACGACUGCUAAUACCGCAUAAGCCCACGGUACCGCAUGGCACUGAGGGAAAAGGAUUUAUUCGCUUUAGGAUGGACUCGCGUCCAAUUAGCUAGUUGGUGAGGUAACGGCCCACCAAGGCGACGAUUGGUAGCCGGACUGAGAGGUUGAACGGCCACAUUGGGACUGAGACACGGCCCAGACUCCUACGGGAGGCAGCAGUGGGGGAUAUUGCACAAUGGGGGAAACCCUGAUGCAGCGACGCCGCGUGGAGGAAGAAGGUUUUCGGAUUGUAAACUCCUGUCGUUAGGGACGAUAAUGACGGUACCUAACAAGAAAGCACCGGCUAACUACGUGCCAGCAGCCGCGGUAAAACGUAGGGUGCAAGCGUUGUCCGGAAUUACUGGGUGUAAAGGGAGCGCAGGCGGGAAGACAAGUUGGAAGUGAAAACCAUGGGCUCAACCCAUGAAUUGCUUUCAAAACUGUUUUUCUUGAGUAGUGCAGAGGUAGAUGGAAUUCCCGGUGUAGCGGUGGAAUGCGUAGAUAUCGGGAGGAACACCAGUGGCGAAGGCGGUCUACUGGGCACCAACUGACGCUGAGGCUCGAAAGCAUGGGUAGCAAACAGGAUUAGAUACCCUGGUAGUCCAUGCCGUAAACGAUGGAUUUCUAGGUGUGGGGGGAUGGACCCCCCCCGUGCCGCGGUUACCCCAAUAGUUAUUCCACCUGGGGAGUCGGACCGCAGGGUUGAAACUCAAAGGAAUGACGGGGGGCCCGCACAAGCAGUGGAGUAUGUGGUUUAAUUCGAAGCAACGCGAAGAACCUUACCAGGUCUUGACAUCCGAGGCAUAGCACAGAGAUGUGUGAAAUCCUUCGGGACAUCGAGACAGGUGGUGCAUGGUUGUCGUCAGCUCGUGUCGUGAGAUGUUGGGUUAAGUCCCGCAACGAGCGCAACCCUUAUUGCCAGUUACUACGUUAAGAGGACUCUGGCGAGACUGCCGUUGACAAAACGGAGGAAGGUGGGGAUGACGUCAAAUCAUCAUGCCCUUUAUGACCUGGGCUACACACGUACUACAAUGGCGUUAAACAAAGAGAAGCAAGACCGCGAGGUGGAGCAAAACUCAAAAACAACGUCUCAGUUCAGAAUGCAGGCUGCAACUCGCCUGCAUGAAGUCGGAAUUGCUAGUAAUCGCGGAUCAGCGUGCCGCGGUGAAUAAAGUCCCGGGCCUUGCACA
Molecule: ribosomal RNA, 1341 nt
Filed under: uncultured bacterium
Lineage: Bacteria
Description: bacterial SSU rRNA
Rfam family: Bacterial small subunit ribosomal RNA
Source: RNAcentral